AUAGCACCAACCACACCUCAUCUCCUGCCACUCUCCUACAAGCUAAAAGAAAAGAAAAGGAGAAAAAAGAAGCAAUGCGUCACCACUCAACAAUACCAUUGGUGAGCCAACAUCACACGUAUUCUCAUCAACAAUCACACUUAAACAUUGCCGAGCCUCGCCUAACAUCACACUUAUUCUCAUCAACAAUCACACUUAAACAUUGCCGAGCCUCGCCUACUAAUGGCGCUUAUUGACGGCAUUGCACCGCUUUCGUAUCUCGCCCUCGUCCCCCGUGAGCGGGUUGUUC
RNAcentral lists this long non-coding RNA (289 nucleotides) under Ananas comosus (pineapple). RNAcentral describes it as "long non-coding RNA (ACOM_LNC028660)". The record is from RNAcentral. Lineage: Eukaryota; Viridiplantae; Streptophyta; Magnoliopsida; Poales; Bromeliaceae.